Molecule: ribosomal RNA, 482 nt
Filed under: uncultured bacterium
Lineage: Bacteria
Description: bacterial SSU rRNA
Rfam family: Bacterial small subunit ribosomal RNA
Source: RNAcentral
UUCAGAGGUCUCGAGCGUUGUUCGGAUUUACUGGGCGUAAAGGGAGCGUAGGCGGCCGGGUGUGUCGAAUGUGAAAGCCCACAACUCAACUGUGGAAUGGCAUUCGAAACUACCUGGCUAGAGUACUGGAGAGGAGAGCGGAAUUCUUGGUGUAGCGGUGAAAUGCGUAGAUAUCAAGAGGAACACCGGUGGCGAAGGCGGCUCUCUGGACAGAUACUGACGCUGAGGCUCUAAAGUUAGGGGAGCAAACAGGAUUAGAUACCCUGGUAGUCCUAACUGUAAACGGUGUACACUUGGUGUGCGAGGAAUUGUCCCUUUGCGCGCCGUAGCUAACGCGUUAAGUGUACCGCCUGGGGAGUACGGUCGCAAGAUUAAAACUCAAAGGAAUUGACGGGGACCCGCACAAGCGGUGGAGCAUGUGGCUUAAUUCGAUGCAACGCGAAGAACCUUACCUGGACUUGACAUGCAAGUGGUGCAUGGUU